CCUACGGUUGGCAGCAGUGGGGAAUAUUGGGCAAUGGAGGCAACUCUGACCCAGCAACGCCGCGUGAAUGAUGAAGGUCUUCGGAUUGUAAAGUUCUUUUCUAAGGGAAGAAGAAAGUGACGGUACCUUAGGAAUAAGCCUCGGCUAACUACGUGCCAGCAGCCGCGGUAAUACGUAGGAGGCAAGCGUUAUCCGGAAGGACUGGGCGUAAAGGGUGCGUAGGUGGUUUGACAAGUUAGUAGCGCAACUCCGGAGCUCAACUUCGGAACUACUACUAAAACUGUAUGGCUUGAGUACUGGAGAGGCAGGCGGAAUUCCUAGUGUAGCGGUGAAAUGCGUAGAUAUUAGGAGGAACACCAGUGGCGAAGGCGGCCUGCUGGACAGAAACUGACGUUGAGGCUCGAAAGCGUGGGGAGCAAACAGGAUUAGAUACCCUUGUAGUC
RNAcentral lists this ribosomal RNA (443 nucleotides) under uncultured bacterium. Its description in RNAcentral is "partial 16S ribosomal RNA". It matches the Rfam family "Bacterial small subunit ribosomal RNA", at positions 338 to 795 of the family's 1533-position model. The record is from RNAcentral.